Molecule: unclassified non-coding RNA, 301 nt
Filed under: uncultured fungus
Lineage: Eukaryota; Fungi
Description: sequence contains ITS1
Source: RNAcentral
GUAACGAUUACGUUGUUUCUGACGCUGAUUGCAAUUACAAAGAGUUUUAAAAGGUCCUACUGGCAGGCAAGCCUGCCGAGGAAACAAUGGGUGCGCAAAAAGCAAGGGUAGAAUUCAGACAGCAAGCUCGAUCAGCGGAGGUCAAACAUAAUGUUGGUUCAACAGUAACGUCGCCACUAUGCUCUCCAGUCCGCCCCAGCCAGUGGAACCAAACAUCCACUAACUGUCCUUUCGGAAAGCGUUGCCCCGUGGACUUCAUUAUAUAUAGUUAAUGAUCCUUCCGCAGGUUCACCUACGGAAA